This 372-nucleotide ribosomal RNA is filed under the name uncultured organism. RNAcentral describes it as "partial 16S ribosomal RNA". It matches the Rfam family "Bacterial small subunit ribosomal RNA", at positions 527 to 896 of the family's 1533-position model. The record is from RNAcentral.
GUAGGUGGCAAGCGUUGUCCGGAAUUAUUGGGCGUAAAGCGCGCGUAGGCGGUUUUUAAGUCUGAUGUGAAAGCCCACGGGCUCAACCGUGGAGGGUCAUUGGAAACUGGAGAACUUGAGUACAGAAGAGGAAAGCGGAAUUCCACGUGUAGCGGUGAAAUGCGUAGAGAUGUGGAGGAACACCAGUGGCGAAGGCGGCUUUCUGGUCUGUAACUGACGCUGAGGCGCGAAAGCGUGGGGAGCAAACAGGAUUAGAUACCCUGGUAGUCCACGCCGUAAACGAUGAGUGCUAAGUGUUAGGGGGUUUCCGCCCCUUAGUGCUGCAGCUAACGCAUUAAGCACUCCGCCUGGGGAGUACGGCCGCAAAGGCUG